UACGUAGGGUGCAAGCGUUAAUCGGAAUUACUGGGCGUAAAGCGUGCGCAGGCGGUUGUGUAAGACAGAUGUGAAAUCCCCGGGCUCAACCUGGGAACUGCAUUUGUGACUGCACAGCUGGAGUGCGGCAGAGGGGGAUGGAAUUCCGCGUGUAGCAGUGAAAUGCGUAGAUAUGAUGUAGAACACCGAUGGCGAAGGCAAUCCCCUGGGCCUGCACUGACGCUCAUGCACGAAAGCGUGGGGAGCAAACAGG
This 253-nucleotide ribosomal RNA is filed under the name uncultured bacterium. RNAcentral's name for it is "partial 16S ribosomal RNA". It matches the Rfam family "Bacterial small subunit ribosomal RNA", at positions 524 to 776 of the family's 1533-position model. The record is from RNAcentral.